This 216-nucleotide ribosomal RNA is filed under the name uncultured bacterium. Its description in RNAcentral is "partial 16S ribosomal RNA". It matches the Rfam family "Bacterial small subunit ribosomal RNA", at positions 118 to 351 of the family's 1533-position model. The record is from RNAcentral.
UGGGAACGUACCCUUUGGUUCGGAACAACCCAGGGAAACUUGGGCUAAUACCGGAUACGUCCGUAAGGAGAAAGAUUUAUCGCCAAAGGAUCGGCCCGCGCCUGAUUAGCUUGUUGGUGAGGUAACGGCUCACCAAGGCUACGAUCAGUAGCUGGUCUGAGAGGAUGAUCAGCCACACUGGGACUGAGACACGGCCCAGACUCCUACGGGAGGCAG